GAUUAUUCUAAUACUCUCAACAGGUGGUCAUGAUUUCCGCUUGUCACGCGGGAGACCUGGGUUCGAUUCCCAGAUGGAGAGCA
RNAcentral lists this transfer RNA (83 nucleotides) under Baudoinia panamericana UAMH 10762. RNAcentral describes it as "tRNA-Asp (GTC) (tRNA-Asp-GTC-2-1)". The record is from RNAcentral. Lineage: Eukaryota; Fungi; Ascomycota; Dothideomycetes; Mycosphaerellales; Teratosphaeriaceae.